GGGGGUUCAAUUUGAUUGACGGACGUAGCUCCAGUAUACUCCUGAACACUACUGGACAGACCAGUGUUCUGUGGCUGCAGGGCAGAGUCUGCUGACGGUGUCUCUGCUUAUCGGCGGCGUCAUGCCCGUGUAGGGUCGGACAGCCGAGGUUGUGGCUGGUUCUCUGGCUCAAGCUUGCCGUGUCCGCGAGGUCCGUGCGGAAAAAUUACGUCAUUUUCGCAUCCACGCCCCCUCGAGCGACCUUUCCGUGCGGAAAAUUUCCGCUCCGCGCACCUCCACAUUUUUCUGGGUGAAAGUCCCUAGGUGGCGUUGUCGGUUCCGUGUAAAAGAAACCAGAAGACCCUCACCAGUCCUAACUUGGUUACAUUAGCAUUAGGCUUAAACAUUCAGUGCCAAAGUACAGCCUCUGAGAGCUGCUCUAUCAUCAGCUGUAUCUGCAUUAAGUUGUCCAAUAUUCAGUUGAGCAACUUUGUUGUUUACCUACAAUAAGUUGUAUUACAGGUUUUAGCUGAAUGUGUGUGUGCGCAUACAGUAUGUACACUAGUAAAUGCUUGACUGUUACAUGUCUAUGCAAUCUGUAUGCAAAUAAUAAAUGCAGUAGCCCCCAAACAUUUUCUGUAAGG
This is a long non-coding RNA of Amphiprion ocellaris (clown anemonefish), 623 nucleotides long. The record is from Ensembl. Lineage: Eukaryota; Metazoa; Chordata; Actinopteri; Pomacentridae.